This 429-nucleotide ribosomal RNA is filed under the name Chloroflexota bacterium. RNAcentral describes it as "Chloroflexi bacterium partial 16S ribosomal RNA". It matches the Rfam family "Bacterial small subunit ribosomal RNA", at positions 355 to 776 of the family's 1533-position model. The record is from RNAcentral. Lineage: Bacteria; Bacillati; Chloroflexota.
UAGGGAAUCUUCGGCAAUGGACGAAAGUCUGACCGAGCAACGCCGCGUGAGUGAAGAAGGUUUUCGGAUCGUAAAACUCUGUUGUUAGAGAAGAACAAGGACGUUAGUAACUGAACGUCCCCUGACGGUAUCUAACCAGAAAGCCACGGCUAACUACGUGCCAGCAGCCGCGGUAAUACGUAGGUGGCAAGCGUUGUCCGGAUUUAUUGGGCGUAAAGCGAGCGCAGGCGGUUUCUUAAGUCUGAUGUGAAAGCCCCCGGCUCAACCGGGGAAGGUCAUUGGAAGCUGGGAGACUUGAGUGCAGAAGAGGAGAGUGGAAUUCCAUGUGUAGCGGUGACAUGCGUAGAUAUAUGGAGGAACACCAGUUGCGAAGGCGGCUCGCUGGUCUGUAACUGACGCUGAAGCUCGAAAGAGUGGGGAGCAAACAGG